UGCGUGCACACAGAGGAAAGGCUAUAUGAAGACUGUGAGAAGGCAGCUGUCUGUAAGUCAGGAAGAGCUUUCUCACCAGAAACUAGCCUUGCUGGCACCUUGAUGUUGGAUUUCCAGCCUCAAGAACUGUGACAAAAUAAUUGUUGCUUGAACUGCCCAGUCUGUGGUUUCUUGUUAUGACAGCCUGGAUGACUAAGGCCAAAUGUUUGUGAAGAACAGCAGUUGAAUGUGGUGAAACUCCCACACCUGUGUGUGCAGGUAUUCACGCACAUUGUCAGAUCUGGAGGCAGGGCUGUGCCGGCCUCAGAGGAUAUGUGGGUGAUGAAAGAAGAUCCGGAACUACACCGUCUACAGACAAGCAUACAGCGUGCAGCCCAUCUAUAAGCGCUGCCCUGGUCGGAGCCGGUGGGACCAUGAACCUGGCUGCCCACGCUCUGUUUCUGCAGUGGGGACAUGUUUCAGUGGAAGGAGGUGCUCAGACAAUGAGGCCCAGCGGUGCCAGUGUUCAGAGGGUUUCCAAGGCCCCCACUGUCAAUAUGAUGUAAACGAAUGUGCCAUUGACAAUGAUGGCUGUCAGAACCAAUGCUGUGAUACACUUGGCAGUUAUUACUGCAAGUGUUAAGCUGGCCAGAAGCUGGAGGAAGAUGGCAGAGGAUGUGAAGGAUCUGCAAAUGCCUGCAGAAAGUUCUCAUUCUGGUCUUCUCUGCUAUGAUAUAUGUUUAACAAGAGCAGAACCCCACAUGGGGAAGAGUGAGGUUUUUCAGCUACACCUAUAACCAGAGCAAGAAGGCAUCUGUGUCCCAGGAUUCCCAGCCCACAUGUUGAGCUUCAUGAUGAUUGGAUCACAUCUGAACAAAUUCAUUCAUUCCUGAGAAAAUUAUAUGCUAAUGAAGAGAUAACCUUGUUCAAUCACUAUGGCAAAAGGAGAUGUCGAUGAAUGUGUGGUGGUGAAUGGAGGCUGCCAGCAGUGCCGUAUUAACACUCUGGACACCUUCCACUGUGAAUGUGAUACGGGAUACAGACUCCAUGCUGAUGAACGCACCUGCAUAAGAUUCCAUGCCAGAGGCCUGGCUCCCUGUCCUUGAGUAGCAUACUUCCUGACAUGCUGUGACCUCUCCUGAGAGACAGCAUCAGAAAAGCCAGUCUGAGAUGUCCCACAUGGGGAGAGGACCACAACAAGUGAGACCAGCUAUGCCUGGUUGGUGGAAGGGCACAGACACAGCAUCAGGAAGUAGACAAAAAUGGAAUUCUUGCCAGAAUUGACUUGCUGUUCAGAGUCUCCAUUG
Leptonychotes weddellii (Weddell seal) is the source of this 1286-nucleotide non-coding RNA. Lineage: Eukaryota; Metazoa; Chordata; Mammalia; Carnivora; Phocidae. The record is from RefSeq and is a predicted model, not a curated record.